This 73-nucleotide transfer RNA is filed under the name Felis catus (domestic cat). It matches the Rfam family "tRNA". From Rfam's summary of the family: Transfer RNA (tRNA) molecules are approximately 80 nucleotides in length. RNAcentral also lists the same sequence under 1 other name. The record is from Rfam by way of RNAcentral. Lineage: Eukaryota; Metazoa; Chordata; Mammalia; Carnivora; Felidae.
GCCUGGCUGGUUCAGUCAGUAGAGCAAGCGACUGUUGAUCUCAAGGCUGUAGAUUCGAGUCCCACGUUGGGCG